UCUUGCCUACGGGGGGCAGCAGUCGGGAAUAUUGCGCAAUGGAGGAAACUCUGACGCAGUGACGCCGCGUAUAGGAAGAAGGUUUUCGGAUUGUAAACUAUUGUCGUGAGGGAAGAAGAUGACAGUACCUCAGGAGGAAGCUCCGGCUAACUAUGUGCCAGCAGCCGCGGUAAUACAUAGGGAGCAAGCGUUAUCCGGAUUUACUGGGUGUAAAGGGAGCGUAGACGGCGAAGAAAGUCUGAAGUGAAAGCCCGCGGCUCAACCGCGGAAUGGCUUUGGAAACUUUUUUGCUGGAGUACCGGAGG
This 305-nucleotide ribosomal RNA is filed under the name uncultured bacterium. RNAcentral describes it as "bacterial SSU rRNA". It matches the Rfam family "Bacterial small subunit ribosomal RNA", at positions 333 to 655 of the family's 1533-position model. The record is from RNAcentral.